UACGGGGGGAGCAAGCGUUGUCCGGAUUUACUGGGCGUAAAGGGCGUGCAGGCGGUCUGUUAAGUUCAGGGUGAAAGCUCCCGGCUCAACUGGGAGAGGUCCUUGGAUACUGGCAGACUUGAGGAGGGUAGAGGAGAGUGGAAUUCCCGGUGUAGUGGUGAUAUGCGUAGAUAUCGGGAGGAACACCAGUGGCGAAGGCGGCUCUCUGGGCCCUACCUGACGCUGAGACGCGAAAGCGUGGGGAGCGAACCGG
RNAcentral lists this ribosomal RNA (253 nucleotides) under uncultured bacterium. RNAcentral describes it as "partial 16S ribosomal RNA". It matches the Rfam family "Bacterial small subunit ribosomal RNA", at positions 524 to 776 of the family's 1533-position model. The record is from RNAcentral.